Molecule: RNA transcript, 2523 nt
Organism: Gadus chalcogrammus (walleye pollock)
Lineage: Eukaryota; Metazoa; Chordata; Actinopteri; Gadiformes; Gadidae
Exons: 2
Source: RefSeq, a predicted model, not a curated record
UCCAUGUAGGAUUCGUCAUAGGAAAGGCAAAGUUAGCUCCGAUGUCAGUCCAUACAGUCCCGCGGCUUGAACUGGGAGCAGCAGUCCUGGCGGUUGAGAUAGCAGAAUUGGCUUCAAGAGAGUUGGAUCUGAAGUUUGAUGAUGUGCGGUUCUAUACAGACAGCAAGGUUGUGCUUGGGUACAUUUAUAACGCAACCCGCCGGUUCUACGUGUAUGUCAGUAACAGGGUAGAACACAUCAGGAAGUUCUCAAGCCCUAACCAGUGGCACUACAUACCCACCGGCCAGAACCGAGCAGACGUAGCAACCAGACCAGUACAUGCAGCACUGCUCACCAGUACACGAGCUGGCUCACCGGGCUUUCUGCUGCUACCGUCUAAAGAAGACAUCCCACUGGAAACACCUUUCAGCCUUGUGGACCCAGACUCUGACGCAGAAGUGCGAUCUCACCUCACCACAUGCACCAGCCCAAACCUGGGCUCUCAGCGGUUUGAACAGUUUUCAACAUGGCAGUCUCUCAUCAGAGCCAUAGCCACACUCAUCCACAUCACAGAGGUCAUCAGAUCCAGCACUACAACUGGAAACAAAGAAUGUAAAGGCUGGCAUCAAUGUUCAAAAGCACACGCAUCCGACAAUCUGUUGAAGGCAAAACAGGUCAUCAUUCGAUGUGUUCAAAAAGAAACCUAUCCCACUGAGAUGUCCUGUCUGCAGCAAGGGAUAAGCAUUCCUAACGACAGUCCACUGAGGAAGUUGGAUCCUGUUCUCGAUUGUGACGGACUCUUGAGAAUCGGUGGCCGGCUUCAACGCUCAAGACUUACCGCGGAGGAGAAACACCCUCUCAUUGUCCCUGGUCGCAGCCACGUCGGCGCUCUACUUACCAGCUACUACCACAGGAGAGUCGAACACCAGGGCCGGAUCUUCAAGGAGGGAGCUAUACGUGCAGAUGGCAUAUGGAUGGUUGGAGCCAAGAGGUGCAUCGCAAAGCUUCUACACAAGUGUGUCACGUGUAACAAGCUCAGAGGUAAAACAGCAGAGCAAAAGAUGGCCAACCUCCCUCCAGAUCGCCUAAGUACAGAGCCUCCUUUCACUAACGUAGGCAUCGAUGUAUUUGGUCCUUGGAGUAUCUCUACUCGACGCACCCGUGGAGGCGCUGCCAACAGCAAAAGGUGGGCAGUUAUCUUCACCUGUCUCAGUGUACGUGCUGUUCACAUAGAGCUCAGUGAAGCCAUGGACACAUCAAGCUUCAUCAACGCUCUGGGUAGAUUUCUUGCCAUCCGGGGUCCUGUGAAGCUUAUACGUUCAGACUGUGGCACAAAUUUCAAGGGAGCCUGUAAAGAGCUGCAAGUACUCUUGCAAGACUACCAGGAGCCCAACAUCUCUAAGUUCCUCAGUGCAGCGGGUUGUACAUGGAUCUUUAACCCGCCUCAUUCAUCACACAUGGGCGGUGUGUGGGAGAGGAUGAUUGGCAUCUCAAGAAGGAUUCUGGAUUCCAUGCUAAGUCACUCUCCACCUUCCCUACUCACCCACGACGUUCCGUCUACUACGAUGGCAGAGGUGUCCGCCAUUAUCAACGCCAGACCUCUGACAACCAUCUCUACCGAUGCAGACGCUCCGUUACUUCUGACUCCCAACACGAUUCUUACCCAGAAGGUUUGCUGUCCAUAUCCUCCUCCAGGCUGCUUCGUCGACGCAGACUUACACCGUCAGCAAUGGAGAAGAGUCCAGCACUUGGCCAACACCUUUUGGGAAAGGUGGCGGCGUGAGUAUGUCUCAAACCUCCAGAGUCGUUCUAAGUGGCAGAAGAGCCAGCCCAACAUCAAGGAGGGCGACCUAGUGCUUCUUCGCGAUACUCAGCUGAAGAGAAACCAGUGGCCCAUGGCAUUGGUGACUAAAACCUUCCCUGGAAGUGACGGAAAGAUCAGGAAGUUGGAGCUCAAGGUAACUAGAGGAGGCACUUCCAAGACCUUUCUUCGCCCUAUCACUGAAGUGGUGGUGCUGAUAACCCCUUGGGAUCAAACAGACUCUUGAUUGACCCCCAGAUGUUUGGUUAUUUAAGGUGUUAUUGUUUUCAAUACCAGGCGGGGAGUGUUACGUUACACAUUUUGAGUUUGUAUUAGGCACUUUAGAGCCCCCUGCAGGCCAUUACUUGUAUUCAGUUCUUUCGUAGUUUCUUAAUAUUGCGUUCGUUCUCAUUGGCUGAUAAGAGUCACGUUCUGUUAGUCACGUGAUUUCAGACGUGAUCGGUCAGUAUUUCGGCAGCCAUUUUGAUCUGUCAUUCGAGCCAGAGAUCCACACGGUGAAACAUCUUUUUUAUCUCACGUCAUUCAUCCGUGUAAGCCUUGGAGAAGCUUUGUUUUUUCACACUUCUAAACCGGCAACAACUUGUUCAACAACUAUCAAUAAAUGGACAUACAAGUGGAUGUCGACAACAUCCUCUACGGACUUUCAUCAUUGAUCCUGUCUUCAAGUUUUGUUGGGAAAAGUGUUUAGCUGUCUGGUGAUGUGUGCAUAGCUACACGCUCAG